This 427-nucleotide ribosomal RNA is filed under the name uncultured bacterium. RNAcentral's name for it is "partial 16S ribosomal RNA". It matches the Rfam family "Bacterial small subunit ribosomal RNA", at positions 355 to 774 of the family's 1533-position model. The record is from RNAcentral.
UGGGGAAUAUUGCACAAUGGGCGCAAGCCUGAUGCAGCCAUGCCGCGUGUAUGAAGAAGGCCUUCGGGUUGUAAAGUACUUUCAGCGGGGAGGAAGGCGAUAAGGUUAAUAACCUUGUCGAUUGACGUUACCCGCAGAAGAAGCACCGGCUAACUCCGUGCCAGCAGCCGCGGUAAUACGGAGGGUGCAAGCGUUAAUCGGAAUUACUGGGCGUAAAGCGCACGCAGGAGGUCUGUCAAGUCGGAUGUGAAAUCCCCGGGCUCAACCUGGGAACUGCAUUCGAAACUGGCAGGCUAGAGUCUUGUAGAGGGGGGUAGAAUUCCAGGUGUAGCGGUGAAAUGCGUAGAGAUCUGGAGGAAUACCGGUGGCGAAGGCGGCCCCCUGGACAAAGACUGACGCUCAGGUGCGAAAGCGUGGGGAGCAAACA